This 465-nucleotide ribosomal RNA is filed under the name uncultured bacterium. Its description in RNAcentral is "bacterial SSU rRNA". It matches the Rfam family "Bacterial small subunit ribosomal RNA", at positions 338 to 795 of the family's 1533-position model. The record is from RNAcentral.
CCUACGGGUGGCUGCAGUGAGGAAUAUUCCGCAAUGGACGAAAGUCUGACGGAGCGACGCCGCGUGGAUGAUGAAGGCCGUGAGGUUGUAAAAUCCUUUUGCUGGGGAAGAAUAACCAUGGGAGGGAAUGCCCGUGGGAUGACAUGAACCGGCGAAUAAGCCCCGGCUAACUACGUGCCAGCAGCCGCGGUAACACGUAGGGGGCGAGCGUUGUUCGGAAUUACUGGGCGUAAAGGGCAUGUAGGCGGUUCUGUAAGCCUGACGUGAAAGGCUAUGGCUCAACCAUGGCAUUGCGUUGGGAACUGCGGGACUUGAGUCACGGAGAGGGAGCUGGAAUUCCAGGUGUAGGGGUGAAAUCUGUAGAUAUCUGGAAGAACACCAGUGGCGAAGGCGAGCUCCUGGCCGAUGACUGACGCUGAGGUGCGAAAGUGUGGGGAUCAAACAGGAUUAGAUACCCCUGUAGUC